GAUGAAGAACGCAGCGAAAUGCGAUAAGUAAUGUGAAUUGCAGAAUUCAGUGAAUCAUCGAAUCUUUGAACGCACAUUGCGCCCCCUGGUAUUCCGGGGGGCAUGCCUGUUCGAGCGUCAUUUCACCACUCAAGCCUCGCUUGGUAUUGGGCAUCGCGGUCCGCCGCGCGCCUCAAAUCGACCGGCUGGGUCUUCUGUCCCCUAAGCGCUGUGGAAACUAUUCGCUAAAGGGUGUUCGGGAGGCUACGCCGUAAAACAACCCCAUUUCUAAGGUUGACCUCGGAUCAGGUAGGGAUACCCGCUGAACUUAAGCAUAUCAAUAAGCGGAGGA
RNAcentral lists this unclassified non-coding RNA (331 nucleotides) under soil metagenome. Its description in RNAcentral is "partial contains 5.8S ribosomal RNA, internal transcribed spacer 2, and large subunit ribosomal RNA". The stretch from base 1 to 120 matches the Rfam family "5.8S ribosomal RNA", at positions 35 to 154 of the family's 154-position model. The record is from RNAcentral.